Molecule: ribosomal RNA, 453 nt
Filed under: uncultured bacterium
Lineage: Bacteria
Description: bacterial SSU rRNA
Rfam family: Bacterial small subunit ribosomal RNA
Source: RNAcentral
AGAGUUUGAUCAUGGCUCAGAGCGAACGCUGGCGGCAGGCCUAAUACAUGCAAGUCGAACGGUCUCUUCGGAGGCAGUGGCGGACGGGUGAGUAACGCGUGGGAACGUGCCCUUUGGUACGGAACAACUGAGGGAAACUUCAGCUAAUACCGUAUGUGCCCUUCGGGGGAAAGAUUUAUCGCCAUUGGAGCGGCCCGCGUUGGAUUAGCUAGUUGGUGGGGUAAUGGCCCACCAAGGCGACGAUCCAUAGCUGGUCUGAGAGGAUGAUCAGCCACACUGGGACUGAGACACGGCCCAGACUCCUACGGGAGGCAGCAGUAGGGAAUCUUGCGCAAUGGGCGAAAGCCUGACGCAGCCAUGCCGCGUGAAUGAUGAAGGUCUUAGGAUUGUAAAAUUCUUUCACCGGGGACGAUAAUGACGGUACCCGGAGAAGAAGCCCCGGCUAACUUCGUG